RNAcentral lists this long non-coding RNA (4865 nucleotides) under Cucumis sativus (cucumber). Its description in RNAcentral is "long non-coding RNA (CSAT_LNC000203)". Lineage: Eukaryota; Viridiplantae; Streptophyta; Magnoliopsida; Cucurbitales; Cucurbitaceae. The record is from RNAcentral.
UAGCCCACUAAGUUCCACUAAUUGUUAGUGAAACAUUAGGUGUUUGGAUUUUGCAAAUUAAUUACAUGCAUUUUUGCAUGUAAUUAGGUUAUAAAUAGGGGAGUUUUCAAAUGGUUGAAGACUUUUGCCUUUUUUAAUAUACUCCAAUAUCUCAACCAAGAAAAAAAACUUCUACCUUCCAAUUUCCUUUUAUCUCCAUUACUUUCUACAUCAAAUUGGAUCCCACAACCCGGUUCUUUGUCUAGAGGAUAGUAGUUGAGCACUAGUGGUGGUCUCGAUUUGAAUUGCUAAUGAGGUAUAAAGUUUUUUGAAAGCUUCAAAGGUAAUAUUUCCUAAAACCCUAAUUUGAUUAGUUUAGGGUUACUUGUUAAUUGCGGCAAUUAGGGUAGAAAUUCGAUUCUUUUUCCGCUGUGCAUGUCUUAGUUCUAUCAUCUUCAACGAUCAUUAAUUCAUUGUUAAAGUCCUUAAAUAGAUCAUCUUGACAAUCAUUCAAUCUAAUAUAAUUGCGAAUUGUGUAACAUGCUAUUUAUAUAUACUUUGUGUCUUUAUCGAGUAUGGAGGCAUUUGCUUAAGAUAGGAAAUCGAGCCUUCAGCACACCGAAACAACGAAUGACAUUUCACAAUGAAGGAUUUCGAUAGUUAAACACUUCUUCUUUAUCUCAAGGGCGAUGUUUCAUUUCUUUAAAAUCUUGUAAAUGAUAUAUUUGAUCGCGAAAUGAUGCUAAAAAUGUUGACAUAUUUGAAUAUCCUAAAUUGACAAGAUAGUAUUGAUCUCUAUAAAAUAAAUCAAACAAAAAAUUAUCAUAAAGUCAUCUAUUAUUGGAAUUUACGUCCUAAAACUCGUAGUUUGUAAUUUAAAUAUUAUUCUAAUCAAUAAAGAGGUUAUUGAUGACUUAUUAGUGAAAAUAUAAUACUAUAAUUUUGAAUCUAAUAAACUAAAAUCUUGAGGUUAUCUAGUGUAGAUUUGAACUUUAUGUAGAGACAUAAAUGUGGAUCAAGUUCGAGUAUAUAACCCAAAUGAUCUAUAGUGUAUGAAUAAGGUUGGGUGCCUUCAUCUGAUAAAACUAUGAAUGCAAUUCACUUUGUAGUUAGUACAAAUGAUGUGUUCAUGAAUCGUUCAUGUAAAGAGACAUGGAAGUGGGGGCAUUUUAGAAGUAUGCGAGAAUCAUUGACCGAUCCUUCCCAACAAGACAUUGACAUAAUAUCAAUGAAUAGACACACAUUAUGUCACACCCCACUCUUUCCACCUCACGAGAUAAAACAGAGGCUCAACUAUGUAAGCAUAUUCUACAUGAUAUUCUCCGUGAAGUAACGCAUCGAACGAUUAGUGAGCGAAAUUAAAACAAGUGUGAGAAACUUAACACAAAAAAUGAGAGUUUAUUGAUAUUUCACUAUAAGUACUUUUUGUUGGAAUUUUUUGUCCUAAAACUCGUAGUUUGUAAAUCAUAUUUUGUUCAAUAAAGUUGUUAUUGAGAAAUUAAAUAUUAUAAUCUUAAAUCAAAUAAAUCAAGUUCCAAGGCUAUUUUUGAAUAAACUUGAAUUUUAUGUGUAAACAUAAACGUGGAUCAAGUUCGAGUAUAUAGCCUAAAUAGUCUAUAGUAUAUGAAAUAAAGGUUGGGCGCCUUAUUUAGAGAAACUAUGGAUGCGGCCCACUUUGUAGUACAAACGAAGUGAUCCUAAUCGUUCAUGUAGAGACAUGAAAGUGGGGGCAUCAUAUGUAAAAUGUUUACAUAAGACUGAACCAUGAAUUAGUCUUUUUUACGUUAUAACACCGUUUACUGUUUAAAACUGACUAUCUCAAUUAUUGAUGACCUAGGUAACUUAGUCUUAAUCCUGAGUUAACUAUGAACUCCUAUUCACACGAGAUUAUCCUUAGAUCUGCAUAGGUGAGGGCAGCUCAUCAGCGUUGGCCCAAUAAGCCUCCCAUUUCAGGGGUAAGAUCGGGUGGAUAGCUGGGAACAUAGGGUACAAGAUGGAAUUCACUCCUACCCGCUUUAGGGUUAGUAGAUAGGUUGCUCUCUUAAGCACUGAAUCCAAGUCUUGAACAAGGGGCCCCACCCUCUCAUUGGCCCGAGAGGGAUUAAGUUUAUAGGUUGAACCUUAAACCAAUUGUUCAAUAGUGGAUUAGUGGGACUUAAGGAGCAAGAUGUAAUCUUGGGGGUAAAACGGUAUUUUGACCCAGCCAAGGUUACGAGCAACCUGUGAAAGAUUAACUUACUGAUUAUGGUUUUAUCAAAUGGACACAAAUAUAUCUAUAGUGAGGGGAGUGCAACUACGGGACUUUAGUGGAAUGACCCGUUAGUUAACGAAUGUUGAUUAACUCGGUUUAAAAGAGUUUAGCUAGUUAAUCUUGAAUCGUUGGAGCCCAUGAUCUAUAGGUCCAUUAGGUUCCUCUGCUAGCUCAUAUGGAUUAAACUUAGAACAGUGUGAUGAAAUAAGUCGAAUUGUUCGAAUUGGGAGAAGAAAGGGAAACCGACAUAUACAGUGAUAUAGUCGUCGGUCUUCUAAUUAGAAAUAGAGCUUUAUGUUUUACAUACUAUAAGUAUGAAUGCGGAUUCAUACUAAGAAGCUCGGAAUUGGUCAAAAAUAGUAAAAAGUCAAAAUGUUGACUUUUGACUUUGAAAAAGUCAAACUUUGACCGGCCUUAUAUCCAAAUGUGAUUUGAAUUUUGGAAAAAUGAAUGCGGAUUCAUGCUCGGGAGGUUGGAAUUAGUCAAGACGGACAAAAUGGUAAAAAGUCAAAAUAUUGACUUUUGACUUAGAAAAGUCAAAGUUUGACUUUUGACUAGAAAAAUCUAAUGACCAUUUUACCCUUGGACUAAGUUAGUGGGAAAAUCCAACAUUUUGUUGGAUAAUCCCACUAACUCUUAGUGGGAUAUGUGGCUAUAUGAGAUAUAGACACCUAGCCCACUAAGUUCCACUAAUUGUUAGUGGAAUAUUAGGUGUUGAGAUUUGGCAAUUGAAUUGCAUGCAUUUUUGCAUGUAAUUAGGCUAUAAAUAGAGAUGUUUUCAAAUGUUGAAGGACUUUUGCCUCUUUUAUCAUUUUCAUCAUCUCAACAAAAGAAAAAAGAAAGCUUCCAAUCUCAUUUUAUCUCCAUUACUUUCUACACCAAAAUUGGGUCCCACAACCCGGUUCUUUGUCUAGAGGAUAGCAGUUGAGUACUAGUGGUGGUCUCGGGUAGAAUUGGUAAGAAGACAUCAAACCUUUUGAAAGCUUCAAAGGUAAUACUUCUUAAAACCCUAAUUUGAUUAGUUUAUGGUUACAUGUUAAUUGUGGCAAUUAGGGUAGAAAUUCGAUUCUUUUUCCGCUGUGCAUGACUUAGUUCUAUCACUUUUGGUACCAAUUACAAUGCUUAGUACGACCCUUUAAACCUGACUUAAAACAUUACAUGAACUUCUUUGCUUAAUUAUUACAUGUUAUGCAAACAAAUAAUGUUCAUUACCAAAAUGAUGCGAUCAAGGGGCACAGUAGGCGUUCAAAGCUGCAAGUUCAAGGUUGGAUGUCCUUCGCUACAUAGAAGGUGAUAACUCAUAUAAAUACAAGUUACUAUGACCUUUUAGGUAGAAUAAUGAGACCAAAAUGCGUGAUAAGAGUGGCAAAACACAUAGCUUAUGUUGUAAAUGCAUAAAUAUUUAGGAAUAAACUUUACAUAAGUGAUAUGCCUGCUUUACCCUGUUUUUAAUGUCUAAACGUAGGAUUUGCAAAAGAAGAAGUUGGCGAAUUGCAAAGAAACUCGCGUGAAAACUAGGCUAGAAGACCACAUCAAAGCGAAAGAAGAAGUUCACUAGAAGAAAAAAGUGGUAAAUGGAAUUGACUUGACUUGACAAGAUAGAAAACUUUCGACGUUGACAUGUUCAGAAGAUUAAACUUCUCACCUAAAUCUGCCUAUAAAAAAGAACUUCAUACGUACCAUCAAUGGGCUAGACGUCUAAAUGGACUAGCCACUAGAGGUCUAAAUGAGCCAACCACUCACUUGAAGAGGUGGGUGGAAACCUAGAGAGUUGAUGGGAAAGAGUAGCCUUUCCACCACCUGUAAAGUAUUCCUUCAUCUUCUCCGGUCAGUUGAAGAGUGAAAGCUUGAGAGGUGAGUUCAGAAAAGUCCAUCCCACAUUUCCUCCUGACUUGUAAUGUCACUUUUAUUUUUUUUACCAUUUUUGUAUUUUUUUUAUAUUGUAUCUAUUUGUAUUGUACAGUGGCCGAAGACCUUCAUUGUUUAAUACAAUGUAUGUUUAUACCUCAUUCAAUCUAUCCAUCUAUCCUUGUGCUAUUUGUAAUUUAGGUUUAUGAUACAUUCUUGAUAAGGAGCUUUACUUAUAAUUCUUAUUGGUUAGUUGAGCUACUUUCAUCACUUGGCAAGUGUAUAUCGCCAACUACACCUGAGAGGGCAAGUGACAAGGAUAUAACAAACACACACAAGGAAGCGUUUUCUACUAUGUGAGAUAACUUCCAUCAUUUGUAUAACACUGAUUGUGUAGCAAAACAUGACAGUCGUGAGUUUUGAGACUUGAUAUUUUCCCCUCGUUUUUAUUCAUGCAUCGUGAAAUAUUAGAAACGAAUCCAUCGAAAAACUUAAUUGCUUUCAGGAACUUUCAAAACUCAACUCGCUUGCUGCUAGUCAAUGUGUAGCUCACAUGUGGUUUCAUCAAUCUGUUACUGACUUCUAUCAAAUGUAAAUCAUUUUUUAUUUUUUAAAUCUUGUAGAUCUAAUAGGGCAUUCGUGGUACCCUUGGUUUUUCUUUUAAUAUUCAAUAAUGUACCGACAAAGUUGUCACAAACAUUCUUUUCAAUAUGCAUUACAUCUUUUGUGACAAAUAAGUAAUCUUGACCAGUAAGGAAGAUCGAAGAAAAUAAUUUUCUUAGUCCAA